GCCGCUCCUCUGCUCCUCUCUCUCUCUCUCUCUCUCUCGCGAUUUCACCAGAUAUAUGAAGUUUCAAUAGAUCGAUGAAGAUUCUGACCUCCUGGUUCCGAUUUCUGGCUUUUAUUGGCUUUAUUUCAUCCGUAUUUUCUCUUCCCUUUCGUCUUCCUUCUUACGAAGAGCAAUAUCCAUCUUCAAGAGGUUACUUAUAGGCUUGCUCAGAUUUGAUGAUUAAACAUGUGUUCACCACAGAUCGACGGAGAAGAUUUGCAACGGAGAAGAGGUGCAACUGAGACUUUUAGAUCUGCGAUCCCCAAACCCUAAUACGGUAAAACUUUUAGAUCUGGUAUGUUUAUAUGCAGGUUGGGGGAUUUUGAUUUCAGGUUAGUGGUCUGAUUUAUCAUAUUGCAAUUUUAUACAUGUUUAAUUACAUGAGCGAGUUUAAUACCUGGGUUAAUUUUGUUUUUUCUUUCACGUCAUUUCCGGCUGUUGUUCUAUCUUUAUCGCAAACUUAAAGGUAUGCUUUAAGAUAAACUGAACAAUUACGAUUGUCUCUUCAUGAAUUCAGCUAAUAUCUGCAGUUGUGAUGUAGUUUUGUGGUUUUAUAAUGCGACUCUGAGUUUUUAGUGAUUUUGUUGAGAAUUACAGUUCAAUGUCUGGACCACUCGAUUGAUUUGAAAGGCCUUGUAGAUUUGUAAGGCGGGAUCACUGGAUCCUAAAAAGGCAAACGAGAAAAUAUUAGUGUCUUUGGGGAGAUAAUGAUUGGGUUGACAAAGAUCAAGAAACAGCAUUGACUAGGGCAGUUGGAAUGCUUCUUUCUAAUGUACAGGUAGAUUUGUGCAUCAGAUCUACUUGGAUUUACACUGUUGAUUAGUGUGGUUGUGACUAAAAGGUACAUACUUUGUCAAGCCAUUAAGAUUUUGGCUUGCAUUGAAUUUUGAAAUCAAUAAAUAUCCACGGCAGAUUUGUUGAGCUUGCCGGAAAAUUCAGACGCUGGUUCGCCAGCCACCUACACUGCUCCACCGCCUGGUCUCAUCAGUUAAAUGAAUACAGGUGGACAAAAAAAGUGUCGGCGAUUGACCCGUAUUGGAAAAUUAUCCAUUUCGAUUGAUGUGUACGUGACUCUUUUGCCACCUAGCCAUGGUUUUUAACUUUGUUAUAGAUGCUACUAAACCUAUGGAAGUGACAUCACUACAGGUUAUUAAAGAAAGAUUUAAUUAUCCAAUAAGUAGUCUAAAAAAUUAGAGGCGUAAGUACAGCCGACGCUUAACUAGGCAUGGGCGACUUGUUGGGAUUCAUGGACAAAAUCCAUGAAGUCGUUCCAAUGGACCAGCAGCCCGAACUUCUUCAAAAGCUGUCGGAAGGAAGCUUUACGGUGCGGAUCAUGUAAGAACAGUAAAUUUAGUGAACAUAUAUAUCUCCUUAACAAACGAACGCGAACAAGGUCUUGUUCGUGUUCGGUCGGUUCAUUUGCAGCCCUAAUAAUAAGUUUUCUUGAUGCUUCCUGGAUUUAGUUUGGAGUUGAUGCCAAAAGGUGGUGAAAAAGAAAGUCAGGCGAAGAUAAACCGAUACAUGACAAUGAUGGAUUCGAUGACUGAUGAAGAGUUGGAUAGUACGAAUCCAAAACUCAUGAAUGAGUCAAGGAUGACUCGGAUAGCAAGAGGGUCGGGUCGAAAAGUUAGGGAAGUUGUCGAGAUGUUCGAAGAGUGUAAACGUCUAGCCAAACCAUUUUAAUCAUGGAAUUAUAUGUUUUGACUGUUCUUCUAGACGUUUUUUUUCUUUCUAAAUAAUAUUAUUAGUGUGAUGAAUAGUAAUUACUUAUUAUUUUAAUUUAAUAAUGUUGUUUU
This is a long non-coding RNA of Helianthus annuus (common sunflower), 1835 nucleotides long. RefSeq lists it as uncharacterized. The record is from RefSeq and is a predicted model, not a curated record. The transcript is spliced from 8 exons. Lineage: Eukaryota; Viridiplantae; Streptophyta; Magnoliopsida; Asterales; Asteraceae.